This is a long non-coding RNA of Gallus gallus (chicken), 473 nucleotides long. NCBI's taxonomy places the organism in Eukaryota, Metazoa, Chordata, Aves, Galliformes, Phasianidae. The record is from Ensembl.
CCUUGAUGGGGAGUUGCUACAUUCUGCCAAUGUGGUACAUUUUGUGUGGGUGAUUCCACAGAAGAAUUAUGAUGAAUGCUGUUAGUAUUAAUCAUUGUGUUCUUGAAUUAUAGCACUUGAAGUAAGACACUGUCUGGAGAAAAGAGGAGAAGAAGAAUCAUAUCCGUGUGACAAGCUGAUAUAGCUCUACCAACACUCUACCAGCUCUACCAACACAAUGAGGCUCCAGGGAGACCUCACUGUGGCCUCCCAGUACUUGAGAGGAGCAUAUAAACAGGAGGGGGGACGACUGUUUACAUGGGACUUUGGCAAGUCAUUUUUGUACUUGGUUUAUAUGAGUUGGGAAGCUGUGGAGCCUUGAUCCAACAUUCUCUCUUCUGGAACAUGGAAUUAAAUGCCCAAAUGGACUUUCAGAGGAACCACUGAGUCUCUGUAGUACACCUUAUAUACUAAAAAGAAACAGAAGACAGGAG